GGUUCUGUGUUGUUUUAACAGGGAAUUUGCUUUCACUGUUUCUUCUACAGAGACACCUGAUACAUCUAGUGCCAGUCAAGGGACAACACACAGAGGAAUUCAGCAAUCAAUUGAGGGACUCUACCUUAGUGUGAGGCACCGGAAGCGAACCCUCUACCGUCAGAAUUACAGCAGCAAGUUUCGCCAUCGCCUUCGAAGGAAGCUUGCAGAAGACAAAAAACUCCUUCUUCAGGAGAUACAGAAAUACAAUAAUCUUGUACUAGAAUCGGCAACAAC
This is a long non-coding RNA of Esox lucius (northern pike), 276 nucleotides long. The record is from Ensembl. NCBI's taxonomy places the organism in Eukaryota, Metazoa, Chordata, Actinopteri, Esociformes, Esocidae.